GGUCUGUCAAGUCGGAUGUGAAAUCCCCGGGCUCAACCUGGGAACUGCAUUCGAAACUGGCAGGCUAGAGUCUUGUAGAGGGGGGUAGAAUUCCAGGUGUAGCGGUGAAAUGCGUAGAGAUCUGGAGGAAUACCGGUGGCGAAGGCGGCCCCCUGGACAAAGACUGACGCUCAGGUGCGAAAGCGUGGGGAGCAAACAGGAUUAGAUACCCUGGUAGUCCACGCUGUAAACGAUGUCGAUUUGGAGGUUGUGCCCUUGAGGCGUGGCUUCCGGAGCUAACGCGUUAAAUCGACCGCCUGGGGAGUACGGCCGCAAGGUUAAAACUCAAAUGAAUUGACGGGGGCCCGCACAAGCGGUGGAGCAUGUGGUUUAAUUCGAUGCAACGCGAAGAACCUUACCUGGUCUUGACAUCCACAGAACUUAGCAGAGAUGCUUUGGUGCCUUCGGGAACUGUGAGACAGGUGCUGCAUGGCUGUCGUCAGCUCGUGUUGUGAAAUGUUGGGUUAAGUCCCGCAACGAGCGCAACCCUUAUCCUUUGUUGCCAGCGGUUCGGCCGGGAACUCAAAGGAGACUGCCAGUGAUAAACUGGAGGAAGGUGGGGAUGACGUCAAGUCAUCAUGGCCCUUACGACCAGGGCUACACACGUGCUACAAUGGCAUAUACAAAGAGAAGCGACCUCGCGAGAGCAAGCGGACCUCAUAAAGUAUGUCGUAGUCCGGAUUGGAGUCUGCAACUCGACUCCAUGAAGUCGGAAUCGCUAGUAAUCGUAGAUCAGAAUGCUACGGUGAAUACGUUCCCGGGCCUUGUACACACCGCCCGUCACACCAUGGGAGUGGGUUGCAAAAGAAGUAGGUAGCUUAACCUUCGGGAGGGCGCUUACCACUUUGUGAUUCAUGACUGGGGUGAAGUCGUAACAAGGUAACCGUAGGGGAACCUGCGGUUGGAUCACCUCCUUACCUUAAAGAA
This 966-nucleotide ribosomal RNA is filed under the name Klebsiella variicola. RNAcentral's name for it is "bacterial SSU rRNA". It matches the Rfam family "Bacterial small subunit ribosomal RNA", at positions 577 to 1533 of the family's 1533-position model. The record is from RNAcentral. Lineage: Bacteria; Pseudomonadati; Pseudomonadota; Gammaproteobacteria; Enterobacterales; Enterobacteriaceae.